CAAUAGCGUAUAUUAAAGUUGUUGCGGUUAAAAAGCUCGUAGUUGGAUUUCUGUUGGGAACGACCGGUCCGCCCAUUGGGUGUGUAUCUGGCUUGUUCUCGGCAUCUUCUUGGUGAACGUUGCUGCACUUGACUGUGUGGAGCGCUACCCAGGACUUUUACUUUGAGGAAAUUAGAGUGUUUCAAGCAGGCAUAUGCCUUGAAUACAUUAGCAUGGAAUAAUAAGAUAGGACCUCGGUUCUAUUUUGUUGGUUUCUAGAGCUGAGGUAAUGAUUAAUAGGGAUAGUUGGGGGCAUUCGUAUUUAACAGUCAGAGGUGAAAUUCUUGGAUUUGUUAAAGACGGACUACUGCGAAAGCAUUUGCCAAGGAUGUUUUCAUUGA
This 380-nucleotide ribosomal RNA is filed under the name uncultured eukaryote. RNAcentral's name for it is "partial 18S ribosomal RNA". It matches the Rfam family "Eukaryotic small subunit ribosomal RNA", at positions 592 to 976 of the family's 1831-position model. The record is from RNAcentral.